This 322-nucleotide ribosomal RNA is filed under the name uncultured eukaryote. RNAcentral's name for it is "partial 18S ribosomal RNA". It matches the Rfam family "Eukaryotic small subunit ribosomal RNA", at positions 1470 to 1796 of the family's 1831-position model. The record is from RNAcentral.
CCCUUAGAUGUUCUGGGCCGCACGCGCGCUACACUGAUGCAUUCAACAAGCCUAGCCUUGACCGAGAGGUCCGGGUAAUCUUUGAAACUGCAUCGUGAUGGGGCUAGAUUAUUGCAAUUAUUAAUCUUCAACGAGGAAUGCCUAGUAAGCGUGAUUCAUCAAAUCGCGUUGAUUACGUCCCUGCCCUUUGUACACACCGCCCGUCGCUCCUACCGAUUGAAUGCUCAGGUGAGCCAUUCGGACUUUCAUCAUGCUGGUUUCCAGUUUUGAUGAAGGAAAGUCUUGCGAACCUUAUCAUUUAGAGGAAGGAGAAGUCGUAACA